This 185-nucleotide ribosomal RNA is filed under the name uncultured bacterium. RNAcentral describes it as "partial 16S ribosomal RNA". It matches the Rfam family "Bacterial small subunit ribosomal RNA", at positions 1314 to 1500 of the family's 1533-position model. The record is from RNAcentral.
GCCUGCAUGAAGUCGGAAUUGCUAGUAAUCGCGGAUCAGCAUGCCGCGGUGAAUACGUUCCCGGGCCUUGUACACACCGCCCGUCACACCAUGGGAGUCGGUAACACCCGAAGCCGAUAGUCUAACGAAAGAGGACGUCGUCGAAGGUGGGAUUGAUGACUGGGGUGAAGUCGUAACAAGGUAUC